GUCAAAGAGUCCCAAUCCAACCAAGUAGGCCCAGAAAUGGCCGAGAAAUGGAAAUCCUCAUCAUGGCAAGAGAGCGUCAGCUGAUCUAUUAGUAAUGCCUGUUUUAUACUCAAUAUGGAAAUUGUAACCCAACAAUUUAGAAAUGCAGUGUUGUUGAGCUGAAGUGGUGAUGUUUUGCUCCAAGAGGGGCGUGGAGAUGCCACUGAUCUGUGCGUACCAAAAAUUUCUGUUCCAUAAGUAAGGACGCCAAUGCUCAAUAGUUAACACCAAGGCCAUCCAGUUCUUUCUCAUAAGCAGACUUGGAAAGAGUUUUAGAGGAAAGAGCCCUAUUGUAAAAAGCAAUA
Molecule: unclassified non-coding RNA, 344 nt
Filed under: Hevea brasiliensis (rubber tree)
Lineage: Eukaryota; Viridiplantae; Streptophyta; Magnoliopsida; Malpighiales; Euphorbiaceae
Source: RNAcentral